Molecule: long non-coding RNA, 2722 nt
Filed under: Brassica napus (rape)
Lineage: Eukaryota; Viridiplantae; Streptophyta; Magnoliopsida; Brassicales; Brassicaceae
Description: long non-coding RNA (BNAP_LNC002404)
Source: RNAcentral
AAUCUCAAUCUCACUCAAACUGACCACAAAAAAGGGCAUUUCAGUGAUCUCUACAAGGCAGCUGGAGGUCGGGAUGAUGAAAGCGUUUGUCUUAUGCGGCACACCAUAGAACCCAAGCUCUCUCAGUGGCUGAUCAAACUCAAGGUCCAAACUUGCAAACUGAGGUUGUUGCCACAUAUCAUUGACUCGGCUUGCAAAAUGAUUGAAGUCCAUGUUGAUCUUGUUUUUCCUAGCCCUCUCCCGCUGCUCUUCAUCAAUCUCGUCUGGGUCAUAGGCUGAUCUCCUUCCACCGCCUAAGGAUUGCACAACAUCCAUCACCUCAACAUAGAACUGGACGUCCUUUGUUUUCUUGUUUGCUACCAUGAUGUGGUUGUGCAGGUGAAAAUGCAGGACGGUUAUCAUCUCCUUCUCAGCAGGCUGGAAAAACGCGUGCUUAAUGUUUCCAAACAGGACAUCCACGCGCUCAUUGGGCCUAGUUGUAGAAUAUCUGAAACCAUUGGCAUGAGCUUCGAGUGUUCCAGGAAUCCUCUUGCGACCGCUAAACUGUGGACGGAUCCAUAGAUCAGACAACCUGAGAGGUUUGAACUUGUUUCCUGCAAGCUGAAGCUUCUCCUGGGUAACCAGUGUUGCCCUCUCGAUUCUUUCCGACUCACGAGCAUUGACUUGCCGUCUCAGGGUCUUAAUCGCCUGAACCACUUCACUGCUAUGCUUUGAAUCCUUGGACCGGAAUGAAACCUCCUUGAGGUAUAUAGCUCCCUGGUUUUUCAAAGUGUUGGAGUCAGGAGGGUUGAAGGGUGUACCGGGGACAUUGAAAAUGAUACGGAUGUAGUUAUUCUGGCUGCUCUCAUGCUGGUUUGAUACUGUUCUGAUCGCUGAUACAUGGAAUGGAACCAAGCUACCAUAGAUGGGUAACAAUAAAGCCUCGUUCUUCUGAUCAACUUGAAUCAUCAAAUCCCGAGGCUGAGGCACAUCAUUAACGUUCUUGUAGGCAACCAUAUCAGUGGAAGCCUUUGCAGUAGACCGUCGGUCUCCAGAACCGGAACUGUCACCAGCAAGCCUUCUGGCAGUUUCUUCAUUUUUCUGGCGUGCAAGCUCUGCCUGGUGCUGUUUCCGCAGCUCCUCUUUAGACACCACAUGAUCAUCUGAUCUAAGAGCUGUUUUUGUCAUGUAGUUCUCUGGUCCAGCGGUCCUUGCCUUCUUCCUUGGCUUCUCUUCUUCUUCCUCCUUGAAUGAAUAAGCCACAUCCUUAACAGCUUUGGAGCACUUUGUAGUCAAGAUCUCAGGAUUCUGAUCUUUAACAAUAACAGUAUCUGCCAGUAAUAGCGAGAAUUUCUUGUUCUUGCUGCGGCUCUCCUCCUCACAUUCCAAGUUCUGGAACCCAAGAGACACAUUAAACGCCAUCUCAGAUCUCAACACUUUAUCAUUCUUCGCAUUAAUAUUCAAUCCAGACUCUCUGAAUUCAAGACCGAUACCAGUACCAGCAGACUUGGUUAGCUUGUCAACCAACUCAGGAGCUUCCUUUUCAACCACAGAGAGGGCAGCUUGAUAGAUAGUAUUCAACUUAGUUCCUGGCCUCAGAGCAUUAAUUGCAGCUUCAUGUGCCUUGAGAAGAACUUCAUAAGCCUUGCUCUGGAGAGGAGUUGCAUCUAUUAGGUAAGUCCUAGCAACAUUGGAGCAAUAGCUAUUGUACCGAGCACCAACAGCGCAUAUAAUGAUGCUCGCUGGAUCAUAAGUGAGCAAUUCAUCAUCACUUGCAGCACUAGGCUUCAGAUCAAACUUGCCUCCACUCUGAAAUAUGGGAGGGUAGCAUAUGUCAACAUUCUCUGCCUUCAGCUUCACAUUGGCUUUCGUUGGCUCAAGUAUUGCUUUCUCGCGGCACACCAUAGAACCCAAGCUCUCUCAGUGGUUGAUCAAACUCAAGGUCCAAACUUGCAAACUGAGGUUGUUGCCACAUAUCAUUGACUCGGCUUGCAAAAUGGUUGAAGUCCAUGUUGAUCUUGUUUUUCCUAGCCCUCUCCCGCUGCUACCGCAAACAGAUCCGACAACCCCGCAGUGAUAUCCACAAACUGAAACAUUGCAUUCUUUAGCCUCUCAGUCCACGUCUCCAGAAACUUACCUUCAGGAGCCUCACGAGCAAUGUGUCCCACAACUUGAGACUCCUUUCCAUCACCCACAGAUAGAUCACGGAUGGCACGAAAAAUGGCAUCCAUCUGCCCUGCUCCAUCAUCACCUUUAGCCUUCACAUGCAUAACAACAUCAAUCCUCAACUCAUCAAGUGCAGGCUUUUUCACAACUUCAAGCAGAGUUGCCUUGCUCUUGCUGCACAAGAAAUGGAUCUUCUUCGGCGUGAAAACCAUGAUUGUAUCAGGAAACUCAUACCCAAGAAGCCAAAUGUUCAAAGCCGACGAUUUCAGGUAGCGCAGAUCAUCGGAAGCAGGAGGGGUAGCUACAGCAAGAGCGUCAGCAGAUCCCCAGAGGUCUUCACUGUGCUGAUUCCAGUGUGCAUACAAGGCUCUUGUGCGUGAGAUGAAGUUCUUGACAUCAAUUUCGUAGGUGUUCGCAGCUCUUGGAGGCGCUCUUGGAGGCAGGCCAGCAGGAGCUCGUGCGUUACCGUUUCGAGUGUCUCCCAUCUAAAGAGAGCACAGAAGAAACUUAUAUGAGAAAGAAGUUGCAAUAUAUAUUCAGAAACAAGGAAAAGUUAUCAUAAACCUAAAGCUUUCAA